GAUCCUACGGGAGGCAGCAGUGGGGAAUAUUGCACAAUGGGGGGAACCCUGAUGAAGCGACGCCGCGUGAGUGAAGAAGUAUUUCGGUAUGUAAAGCUCUAUCAGCAGGGAAGAUAAUGACGGUACCUGACUAAGAAGCCCCGGCUAACUACGUGCCAGCAGCCGCGGUAAUACGGAAGGCCCGAGCGUUAUCCGGAUUCAUUGGGCUUAAAGGGAGCGUAGGCGGGCGUUCAAGUCAGCUGUAAAAUCGCGCGGCUCAACCGCGCCCCGCAGUUGAAACUGAACGCCUUGAGUUCACAACAGGC
Molecule: ribosomal RNA, 305 nt
Filed under: uncultured bacterium
Lineage: Bacteria
Description: bacterial SSU rRNA
Rfam family: Bacterial small subunit ribosomal RNA
Source: RNAcentral